Molecule: ribosomal RNA, 253 nt
Filed under: uncultured bacterium
Lineage: Bacteria
Description: partial 16S ribosomal RNA
Rfam family: Bacterial small subunit ribosomal RNA
Source: RNAcentral
UACGUAGGGGGCAAGCGUUGUCCGGAUUUAUUGGGCGUAAAGAGCGUGUAGGCGGCCGUACAGGUCAGCUGUGAAAACUCGAGGCUCAACCUCGAGACGUCGGUUGAAACCGUACGGCUAGAGUCCGGAAGAGGAGAGUGGAAUUCCCGGUGUAGCAGUGAAAUGCGUAGAGAUCGGGAGGAACACCAGUGGCGAAGGCGGCCUUCUGGACCAAUACUGACGCUCAUGCACGAAAGCGUGGGGAGCAAACAGG